RNAcentral lists this ribosomal RNA (497 nucleotides) under uncultured bacterium. RNAcentral describes it as "partial 16S ribosomal RNA". It matches the Rfam family "Bacterial small subunit ribosomal RNA", at positions 28 to 507 of the family's 1533-position model. The record is from RNAcentral.
GACGAACGCUGGCGGCGUGCCUAAUACAUGCAAGUCGAGCGAUGACGACUGGUGCUUGCACCAAUUUGAAGAGCCACGAACGGGUGAGUAACGCGUGGGAAAUCUGCCUUUGAGCGGGGGACAACAUCUGGAAACGAAUGCUAAUACCGCUUAACAACUUUCAACCUAAGUUUUAAGUUUGAAAGACGCAAUUGCAUAACCCAAAGCAGCUCCCGCGUUGUCUUAGCUAGCUGGUGAGGUAAAGGAGUAUCACGGCGAUGAUACAUAGCAGCCCUGAGAGGGUUAUCGGGCACAUUGGGACUGAGACACGGCCCAAACUCCUACGAGAGGCAGCAGUAGUGAAUCUUCGGCCAUGGACGCAAGACCGAGCGAGCAACACCGCGUGAGUGAAGAAGGCUUCCGGAUCGUAAAACUCUGCUGGUAGGGAAGAGCGUUGGUGAGACUGGAAAGCUCAUCAAGUGACGGUAACCACUCAGAAAGAGACGGCUAACUACGUG